UGGAGACACAGAAGAGGGCUCUAGGAAAAACUUUUGGAUGGGAUUAUGUGGAAACUACCCUGCGAUUCUCCGCUGCCAGAGCCGGCCAGGCGCUUCCACCGCAGCGCAGCCUUUCCCCGGCUGGGUUGAGCCUUGGAGUCGUCGCUUCCCCAGUGCCCGCCGUGAGUGAGCCCUCGCCCCAGUCAGCCAAAUGCUCCUCCUCGGCCUCCUCCUGCUGACAUCUGCCCUGGCCGGCCAGAGAACCGGGACUCGGGCUGAGUCCAACCUGAGCAGCAAGUUGCAGCUCUCCAGCGACAAGGAGCAGAACGGGAGGAACUAUACCCAGCAUCUGGACUGGCAUAGAAAAGAGGAGAAAGAACAUUAAAAGGAGUGCAAGAUCCCCGGCAUGAGAGAGUUGUCACUAUAUCUGGUAAUGGGAGCAUCCACAGCCCG
Molecule: long non-coding RNA, 432 nt
Filed under: Rattus norvegicus (Norway rat)
Lineage: Eukaryota; Metazoa; Chordata; Mammalia; Rodentia; Muridae
Description: long non-coding RNA NONRATT015367
Source: RNAcentral